UCCUGCCCAAUGACAAAGUUUAAAUGGCCGCGGUACCCUGACCGUGCUAAGGUAGCAUAAUCAUUUGCCUCUUAAUUGGUGGCUAGUAUGAAUGGACACACGCAAGUACCCCUGUCUCAUCAGCAUAUAUAAAAAUUACCAAUCAGGUGAAGAGGCCUGAAUGAAAUAAAAAGACAAAAAGACCCUAUGGAGCUUUAUUUAACACCUCAAUGCCACCAGCUAACACCAUCCCACUUUGAGCAAAUAAAUUUAGUUGGGGCGACUAAGGAAAACUAUAAAUCUUCCUCAUAAAAAAGAAAAUAAAUCCUCAUUGAUCCGUUAUACGAAUAAAGACACAGCUACCCUAGGGAUAACAGGCUAAUUCUUCUCGAGAGCCCAAAUUGACAGAAGAGAUUGGCACCUCGAUGUUGGCUUAGGGUUCCUACAGGGUGCAGAAGCCCUGUAAGUGGGUUUGUUCAACCCUUAAAACCCU
Molecule: ribosomal RNA, 472 nt
Filed under: Laonice sp. D GT-2019
Lineage: Eukaryota; Metazoa; Annelida; Polychaeta; Spionida; Spionidae
Description: partial 16S ribosomal RNA
Rfam family: Bacterial large subunit ribosomal RNA
Source: RNAcentral